GGUUUGUCAUCACUAAACCAGCAGUUCAGGAAGAACGUAUCGCUGGUUAGUGCUGAAAAUUGUUUUUGAUAAGUUUUCAAUUUCUACACAUUUUUCGGUAGAUUUUCUGAGCUCUGCGUAGUGUUCUGAUAUGUGCAUAAUUUCUCGGGCGCGGAAUAUCAAUUUUGGUGAAUGAUUGUAACAAUAUCGCAAAGUACUGCAAAGAAACAAUUGUAUGACUGUAAAAGAAAACUAGAAAAAUUAUUCACUCAUAUGUGUGAGUUGAACUCACUGAGUUCCUCAUUCUACCUUCACCAUAUACGCAACUGUCUACUAAUAUCUGGUAUUGUUAAAAUGAUUCAGAUUACUUUUCUCAAAGAUCCAAUACUGCCACGGUCGAAUGCAAACACCAUAGAAAUUAGUGUUGCUGGUUAUUUUACCGAUGUUUCAGUGCUCAUUACAGAAUGUGACCGUGAUGUAUAAUAUUUAUAAUUUACCGAGUGUUAUAAAUUUUUUCUAACCUGUAUCAUAAUUUGUGCUUAAAUUAGUGAUUUGAAAUAAUGUACUUAUGUAUAAUAAGAAAAUUUUAGAUUGCAGUUUUACACAAUUUAUUAUCAAAUGUUCUAUGGUAAAGUUUGGCAACAAUCCGGUCGCGAGGUGUAGAAAAGAAAAUUGUCCAGUGAACCAACAGCACUCGUAGAAGCAGAAUCAUCAAAACAGCGCAGUUUAACCAAAUAUUACAUUCCCACUACUAGUGUGCGUCCAAAUAGUAUAUGCGGAUGUGUUCCAACUUUCGAAAAAUGAAACGGGUCGAAUGAGAGGUCGAUAAAAAGUAGAAUGUGUAAAUUUCAUAGAAAAUAUAUUUGGAUGAAUUUUGAAUAUUAAUUCAUCACAUGGGCGGAUCGGGAAGGUUAGUGUACUGAUAAGUCCCGUUGUAUGCAAAAUUGACCGAAGCUUUGGUAUGUGGUCGCGAAAGUGAUUUCUGUGAGGUGUGAAUUGAUGCAGGAGGUGAAAUACAAUGAAGUCUAAUAUUAUUUGAAGUGUUGAUAUUUAGAUCUGGUCACUGGUUUGAACUUAAAAAUGUUGACUGUGAUGGUAUAAAAAUAUGGGUUAACGGCAAUGGUCCAAAUGUCAUGAACUAGGUGUUGAAUAUACUGAAAGCAACGAUGUUGAUUGUUUUCCCAGAUAUAUGAAUAUGUGUGUGUGUGUUCACAAGAAAAAUCCUGUGCUUUUUCCUGCUAGCUGAGGCAAACGAAAACAAGUAAAAGUGCUUAUCCAAUAUAAUCUAUGAGUGUCUGGCCAAAGACAGUAAAUUAAAAAAAGGGGAGAGUUACGUCUGAUACGAGCCGAAUAUGUUCAAUUUUAUGAAGAAAGGUGUUGGAGUAAGUGACGAUCGUGAUGAAAAGGAACGUCGCAAACGAGAAAAGAAAAUGCGGAAGGAUGGCAAAGGGACGGGUGUGUCUGGAAGCAUGAGUACUGAAGAGCUUUUGCGACUAGACGAGGUACGAAGAUCACUGAAGAUACGGGGCCGGCGGAAAGAGAAGGAAAAGUUGCCCAGUGGAAUCACUGCUGAUUAUAGUGCGUCAUUUUUCGCCCAGCUUGAUGUAGAUCGGGAACCGGAGCAAGACCGGGGUACAGAGGAAGUUGUUGCACUAGCCAACACUACCACCUACAUCGACAGCAAUGGAGAAAUGGUCGAACGGGUGUCAUUUACCACCGCAAACGUAUCACAGUCCGACAGCUCUGAAACGUCUAUGACUUCGGUGACUGUUAAUCAGACGAAAGUGUUACCGCCCGUGCCACCGAGACCACCAAAACGUGGUAUUUUAAAAGGUUCCCGACUAAACCUAAACGAAUCUGAUGGCGCUGGUUCGUAUACAUCAUCUCCUGAUUCCAAAACAGUAUUAAUGAGAAAUACGAUACAAAACGAACGCAUAAACUAUUCACAAUUGGCCACUCGAUAUUCUGCCGAAAAUUUGAGACUUAUGGGAGAGGUGAGCCCCGGAAAUGUAAAUCAUUUGCAUGUAACGACUUCUCCAUCUCCCAGUGCUGAUAGUCUUACUGAUACAACGAAUUCCUCCUUUGCCACACCACCUUUCUCGCUUAGCCCAGUUGGCGAGUCACAAGGCUCGUUUCGAUGGUCUAGAGUACAAAUAUUUGAGGAUGUUAGUCUUCCACUACCAGCGAUCAAAUUGGUAGAUUUGCCACCACCCAGAGAAUUAUUGAUCAAGAGGCAGAAAACUCCUCGCAACGAUUUUGGAUUCAGUUUGAGAAAAGCAAUGGUUUUAGAUCGGGCUUCUUCUUUGCUGUCACCUACAUUCCGCCCGGUGAUAUUCGCCGAGCCUAGCACAAACAGUAGCUCCUAUACUGGGUUGCUUCCUGGCGAUCGAUUACUAAAGGUGAACGGUAUGUCUGUUGAAGAGCUCUCUCGAGAAAUGAUUAUCGAGUUAAUUCGUAAUAGCGGAGAUAGUGUUCUAGUGCAGGUUCAACCAGUUGCUGAAUUAGUAGAGCUUUCGCGUCGUUGUAUGACAGUUGUGAAUAACUCAAAAGAUCGAACCGCAUCAGUAGAUAUGAUCGAAUGUAACACAUUACGACGGAGUGCUAGCAAGCGCUUCAAAGCCGAGAUUAAAUCGAAUCAUCUGAACGACACAGAUCGAGAGAAUGGCCAUGAGAGUAGCGAAAAAGUAUGGCUCAUACAUCGUGGUGGCUUCACAGCUGCUUCUAAACUACCGAGCAGUAUUAUUACGGAACCAGGUAAAACGAUGUUGCAGCUCGAGCACAACGGGGAAGAGUUGAGCGUAGAUGACGAUGAUAUUGAGCAGGCCAAUCCGGAAUCGCUGGACCUGGUGGAGGAUAUAUGUCAAUUGAGACACUUAAAUGAGGCGUCAGUUCUACACGUUCUUCGACAGCGAUAUGCCAGUAAUCUCAUCCACACACGGGCUGGUCCGGUGUUGCUGGUGGUCAAUCCGAUGGCACCUUUGUCGCUUUACUCUGAAAAGGUGGUGUCAAUGUUUCGAGGAUGUAAAACAGAAGACAUGCCUCCACAUGUAUUCUCUCUUGCGCAAACAGCUUAUCGUGCAAUGUUAGAAACGCGUCGAGAUCAAAGCCUUAUUUUCAUGGGACGUUCCGGAUCAGGCAAAACUACCAGCUUCAAGCAUGCUCUAUAUUAUUUGGCAUUAGCAGCAGGUUCAGCCAACAAAAUACUCUCGGCGGAGCGGGUAAGUGCAAUGAAUACGAUCCUGGAGGCGUUUGGCAAUGCAAAAACGUGUCUCAAUGUAAACGCUACACGUUUCACGCAAAUUCUUAGCUUGGAUUUCGAUCACUGUGGGCAAAUCGCAUCGGCAUCGGUUCAAAUAUUGUUGCUGGAGAAAUCCCGAGUUGGAAGGCGCUCUGGAAGUGACCAACAUAAUUUCCAUGUUUUUGGUAGAUUACUAGCAGGAGCUGAGGGUCAUCUUCAAAAAGAGCUCUUUCUGGACACCAUAAACUUCGACGAAAGCAAUCUAUUCGUGACUUUACCAACGAAGUUGGAAGAUAAACAGAAUGCGUCGAUGGAUUUCGCUCGGCUUCAACAAGCAUUCAGUUUGCUCAAUGUUGAACAAUCGGCUGUUAGAGCUUGUUGGUGUGUGUUAGCUGCAAUAUAUCAUUUAGGUAGCGCAAGCUGUUCGAUUGUUGGAACGGGAUCGAGCGCUAGAAUGCAAUUUGCUAAUCCAACAGCUGCACGUAGAGCUGCUAGUCUGUUGGGAAUUUCUAUGGAUGAUUUGACAACUGCUGCAUUUUCGAAUGCAUUAAAGUCGAAUCCUGCUUCACCGGUCAAAUCAGCAUCAUUUUCAGAUCAAUCUGAUUUAGCUUCCGCGGCAUUGGACAGCUUAGAAGGAUUCGUCAUAGGGUUGUAUUCCGAAGUAAUGGCCGCUGCGGUAGCACUAGUUAAUAAGGCUAUCAGUACGUCUAGUAAUACAAUUGCGUCAAUUCUUUUGAUUGACACGCCUGGUUUUCAAAAUCCGGCCAGUUGUGGGCAGCAAAGCGGUGCAUCUUUAUCCGAUUUAAGACAUAAUUAUCUGCAAGAACGAUUGCAGCUGUUAUUUCACCACGUAGCUCUGGUCGUUCCACGGAAUAGAUAUGCACAGGAAUUGGUAGAAAUUGAUACCGGUAUAUUACAAGACACAAAUCCCGGACCACUAGUAAAUCUACUCGAUAAAGCCCCACAAAACCAUGUCGUCCGAACAUCACAGAAUAAUCUUCGCGAUCAAGAUAAAAGGGGUUUGUUAUGGAUGCUGGACGAAGAGAUCAUGUAUCCGAAUGCUAGUGAUGAUACACUUUUUGAGCGUUUAUUUUCGUUUUAUGGAGAUCGUGAAAGUCACUCACUGAUUCGCAGGGGUGCUGGAACACGCCAAUUUAUCUUGCAACACAUGCAAGGAACGAAUCCUGUAUUAUACAGCUCGACAGGUUGGUUGAAAGGAAGUCAUGAACAUGGUUCCACGAAGUGCGCCAUCAGUUUACUGCAGGACAGUACCAAAACGGACAUAAGCACUCUCUUUACCAGCGGGUUUACGAGAAGUGGAGGAACUGUAUAUUUUGGCUCAAUCGUUGGCACGGAAGGUACCCAGUCAUUACGACGCGUCUCCAGCAUUCGGCGCUCAUUCACGUCAGCUGGUAUUAAGCGUAAUUCUGUGAUGCUGCAGGUUAAAUUCACAGUCGAUGGGAUUAUUGAUACGUUAAGGCGAACCGGAACACACUUUGUCCACUGUUAUCUGUUGCAGCACAAUGCCGGUACUACCAACUAUAUAAAUGUAAACACCAAAGCAUUGCACACUGAUGACAUCGUUAAUGUGCCUUUGUUAAGAAGUCAGUUACGUGGUUCACAAAUACUGGACUUUUCGCGUUUACAUCGGCUAGGUUUUCCAGUUGGCAUGCCGUUGUCAGAAUUCACUCGGCGCUUUGGUUUGCUCGCAGACGGAACACUUAGUGAUGUUACAGUGGAAAGCAUAUUAAAUCACAAUGAAAUCGACUCAUCAGUUUACCGUAUCGGACCUAGUCAGGUUCUUUUCCGAUCGGGUGUUCUGAAUCAGCUGGAAGCGAAGCGCGAUGAACUACUAUCGGACCGUAUCAUUCAACUGCAAGCAUUUAGCCGUGGUCAUUUGGCUAGAAAACGGUUAGCUCAAAGAAGAGUUCAGGAACUCGCGGUCAAAUGCAUCCAACGUAACGUACGAGCUUUUCUAAAAGUUCGUGAGUGGCCCUGGUGGCGGUUGUUAGUAAGGGUUACGCCUCUGUUGAAUGUGCAUCGUACCGAGGAGCAAUUGAAGAUAGCGACUACUGAAUUACAACUGUUGAAAGCAAAGCUGGAUAAAGUUGAAAGUGAUCGAAAUAAUCUUAAGGCGGAAAACUCCAAACUGGAAUUGAAGUUAUCCGAGAUGACGGCUGAGCUUGCAGAGGAGCAUUCGUCGUCCAAUGUGAUUAGCGAGCGCCUAGAUGCAGAAACUACCGAAAGACUGAGACUCGAAAAGGAAGUGAAGGAGCAUGAAAUCAAGUACCGCAACCUACAAGAAUCAUCCGAGAAGCUUGAAAUGGAGCUGCUGUGUGCCAAGUCAGAUCUGAACGGUGAUUUGGACGAUGACCUAGAAGGGGACGAUGCUAGUAGCAACGCAUAUAGACUCAAAUACGAGCGUGUGGCUCGAGAAUUGGAAUUCACUAAAAAACGCCUGCAAACACAACAUGAGCACGAUCUUGAGCAGCUGAUCGGUCUGAAAAAGCAAUUAGAAAAAAAGCUGGCCGAUGCCUACGAGGAAGUCGAAGAACAGCGCCAGGUAGUUGGUCAAUGGAAGCGUAAGGCACAAAAAAUGACAAACGAAAUGAAUGACUUGCGAAUGCUACUUGAAGAGCAAAAUAGUCGUAAUAAUCUUCUUGAAAAGCGCCAGCGUAAAUUCGAUUCAGAGUGCCAAGCGUUGCAGGAUUCAGCUCGUCAAGAGAAACAAGCUAAAGAACGCCUUGUCCGCGAAAAAGACGUUCUUAUUGCCGAAAAGUUUACCACAGAGCAGACGUUAUCGGAUGUUCGCUUAGAGCUCGAACUAAAGGAAGAAAAAUACAGUGCGUUGCAGCGUGAAUUGGAAGAGAUGACAUUCGGGGGUGGAACAGAGGAAGAGAUAGCUCAGCUGAAACGUCAGAAGUUGGAACUUGAUCGACGUUGUAAAGAGCAGGAAGAGGAAUUAGAUGAAAUGGCCGGUCAGAUACAGCUACUGGAACAAGCAAAAUUGCGCUUGGAAAUGUCUUUGGAAACGAUGCGAAAGGACGCGCGCAAGGAAUCGCAACAACGUGACGAUGAACUUGAAGAAGUUCGUGGUAGUUCUUAUAAGAAAAUUAAAACACUGGAAUGCCAACUUGAGCAAGAACACGAAGAGCGUACUCUGCUGCUUCGAGAGAAGCACGAACUGGAGAGGCGUCUUAAUAACCUCGAAGAGCACGAUCGAUCUGAACGAGCUGCUGAGGAAGCUGCCAGUCAAAAAUUAAAACGAGACCUCAGGAAGUACAAAGCCUUACUCCGUGAUGCACAAACUCAACUCGAACGAGCCAAAGCCGACUCUGCUGGUAAAGCACUUAUUCGUCAGCUGCGCAAUCAGCUCGAGGAUGUCGAAUCUGCCCGCUCUGCUGCCGUGAAAGCACGACAAGCAGCGGAAGGGGAGUUACAAGAUGUUCAAUUAAUGCUAGAAGAAGCUCAACGGGGUAGGUAUGAUGCCGAAGAUAAGGCAACGUCAGCCCAGCGCGAUCGUUCCGAACUACAAGCGCAAAUCGACGAAAAUGAAGAAGAAAUGGCUGAGCUAAUGAAAAAGUAUAGUUCCACGGUUAAACAGUUGAGUUCUGAACAGUCGAUUAUAGCGGAUUACGAAUUUAAAAUCUCAGAGCUCGAAUCAGAGAAAAAAUCAUUGAAAGAACAAGUUUUCGAGUUAACGUCUCGUUUAGAGAAUGUGGAGAAUAUUGGCGAAUCAUCGUCCAGUAUACAGUUCAAGCGACUUGAGCUGCGUACCAAAGAGUUAGAAUCACGAUUAGAACUGGAACAGGCUAAUCGUGCUCGAACUGAGGUUCAAUUACAGCGACAUAAGGAUUCGCUGGAAAAGGCACAACUCGAUGUAAGUCAAACGCGUACUAAGGAAAUGCACGCGCAAGACGCACUGAAAAAAUCGCAGAAAACAAUACGAGAACUACGUGAGGAACUGCAUACUAUAGCCAACAAAGAGCAAGAAAGUUUAGCUAAACGAAAGGAUCUCGAAAAACGACUGGAGUCUGUAGAAGCGGAAGCAGCAUCGGCACGAGCUGAUCUGCGGCUAGCGCUUCAACGAAUUGCUGAUUUGCAACAAGCAAUGGAAGAGGGCGACUCGAUGCAUUCCGAUAGCGAAAAUAGUGACAGUUCUAUCGAUUCUGUUGGCGAAUUGAGCUACCGUAGUCCAAGUAAUGUUUCAUUACGAGCAAGACCUGGUCAGUCUAAUGGUACCAGCUCCAAUGGAAGUAGCACAACUUUGUGUAUUCGGGAAGAAAAAGAAAACACUCCAAGGAUCAGACAGAAAUUCCAUAUAAUGGGCCAUAGAAGAAGACGUGUUCCACUCACCAUCCAAGAAGAAGACGAAGAGGAAUCGACACUGAACACUGUCGUUAACAAGCCAUUAGAUGGCUGCAAUGAAGACUUGGCAUUAGAUAGUUGCAUCGAAUCUAUCAAGAGAGCCAUAAGAGAUGGUCCCGAAUCAGAGUUCACAGGACCGGAAACAGUCGUGAUAGAUGAACCGAAAUAUACCGGUACUAUCAAAAAGUCAAUCAAUAUUACUGAAAGAAGCUCAAAAUGCAACAAAUUGCAAAACCAAUUCCAAUCUAAUAUGAAUGGUUCCAAUAAUGGGAAAUCGUUCACAGAUGAAAAUAACAACAUGAGCGAAACCCUGCUUCCAAUAAACAUGCAUUCGAUGUCUGAGCCAAAAACAGCGAAUAUUUUAACGGAUGCUUCUAAAAUAUUAGCUUAUCAGAUUCACGAUGAUUCUCGGUUCGAUUUAGAUGCACUUAAAUCGAUCAAGGAGAAAAUAAAAAGAUUAAAUCGCAGUUUAAAAGAAGAUACCGCUCAAGAACACUGUUCCAAAUUCGAUUUUCCACUAUCAUCUGUGAAAACAGCUGCGUUACCAACAAAAGAAUCCACUAACACUAACAUUCAGACAGAAACCAGUAAACUGGAUCCAAUUGAUGGUCAACUGAAUGUAGAUGAAAUCAGAUCCAUGAAGGAAAAGAUCCAAAAUCUAAAGAAACAACUUCAGGAGGAAUCUACGUCUUUGACCAAAUCAAUGAACAAAGAGGGCAUUAUGUGUGAGAUUAGUGAGAUGAAAAAAGCUCUAACGGUUGCCUUGAUGAACAAAGGCUGUGAGAGAAGAUCACUAAGUCGGUCGUCUUCGGAAAAAGACGAUAAUUCAUUAUCGAAUACAAAAAAAGAAAAUAAUUCAUUCAACAGCUUGAAAAAAGAUCAAAAUUCUUUGUCCAGUUUGAAAUCGUUUGAAAGUGUAAUGACAGACUCUACUCAGACACCAACAGAGCUCGUCAUACUGCCUGUAACUGAUAAGGCGGCGCAAUUGAAAGAUGGAACUGAUAGUGAGUUGUCUCCAAAGUUGACUGCUGAAACUAAAGAUUGUGGGCCGCCGCGCGGGUCUUCAUUAAAUCAAGAUGUAACAACAAAUGGUAGCUCCUCCGGAGUUUCUGGUCGCGAAACCGAAAGGGACCUACCUGUUCUUGAUACCAACAUCAACGACAACGUCGUUGAUCAUGGGUUGUCGAUGACAGUUGAAGAUCAAUCUGCAGCUGUAAAUAAUUCGCCGCCUCCAGCAACUCUAUGUGCUAUAAGCAAAAUAGUACUAGAGUUCAAUAAUUUUGAUGAAAUAUUAAACAAAGACUCUAUCAUACAGCCCGAAGUCGAUUCCACAUCUAUAACUUCUGGCGGUUAUAAUCAGAUGGAAAUUGACAACAACAAUUGUAAUAUGGAGGAGAAGCCAAAUAUUUCAUCUAUAGCCCUUACAGAAAAAUGCCUGACAGAAAUCGUGCUACAUGAGUCAUGUGAUAAUAACACACCAAUAGUAAAUGCUGAUUUAUGUACUGUUGAUAAAAAUCCCGAAUUUAAAGACAUUUCUCAAUCAAAAACCAGUUUCGCAAACUCGUUAGAAAUUGCUGAACAGAUUAAAGCUUCCAAUUCAACUACAAAUGACUCGGUAUCAUUGAUCAUUCUUAAGCCGUGCUUAACAGCCCAAAAUAAUUCAAAUGAAAAUACACCGAACAAUCACGUUGUCCCUGAAACUCUAGGAGUUAUGCAAUCAAAAACAGAAAGUAUGGUAUGUUCCAUUAAUAGUGCUACGAUUAACAACGUUCAAGAGGAUGCAAAAGUAUUAAAACAACAAACAGUUAAAGAUCCACAGCAAAGUUUAGAAAGUUCACCAAUCAUAACGCCAAAGAAGCUUACUAUAUGCGAUAACAAUAAUGAUCCCGCUAUAAAAUUAAAUCAUGUUGAACGUAUGGACAAAACAGUUACUGGAGAAACUUCUCACUGCUGGAAAAGUGAGUGCUUCGAAGUUACUGAUUGUAGGUGUGAAAAUAUAGAUCAAACUAUUCAAUUGUUGGUAACAUCGAUGGAAGAGAACAAAGGAAGUAUAAUUUUCCCAAAGUCCCUCAUCAAUUCUUUUGAUACAAGCAAUUUAUUUGUCGACGAUUUUGCAUCAAGGACACUACCAACUGAACCAGAAGAGCUUUCGAAUAAUAUAGAAAAUAUUGCUCUAACUUUAAAAUCCACGACCGACACAGUGGUAUCUAUCCUUCAUGACCCCACUUCAAAUGUCGGUGAGAGUAGCAAUGAAAUCGAUAUCAAUUUGGAAUCUGAGAUAAAUUGUUUAAAUCCCAUAGAACCUAAAAAAGUGAGUUCCAAAUCAAAUUCUUGUUCCCGGAGAGCUUCUUUGGCAGAAUCAGAAAAUAAAAAUACGAUAUUUUCUGAUUUGGUAAACGGGGAUUUUGUCGACACAAUGACUCCAUUAACAACAAACACAAAUGUAGCUGCAGCAUCCUUAUCCCUCAAUGAUCCUAUUGAAGACAUACCAAAUCAAGUAAGUGAGCGCGAUUUAGCAAUAGUUCAAACGACUUUGCUCAAUGAAUGUUCUUGUUCUGUCAUUCCGUUGCACGCCGCCACAGUGUCAACUGAUGUAAAGCACAAAACUGCAGUAUCUACUUCAAUUCUCAGUUCAACGAAAUCUGGAAACUUUGGCCAAGAACAGAGACCACUUUCCUACGCGGAAAGUUUGAAAAAAGCUAGAUCACCACCAAAAACCUGUAUUCAAAUGACGCGAUCGCCCAAUGUAACAGGUUAUGUGGAGGUUAAAAAAACUAACAAGAAUGAGUGUGUAAUGAAAAGUAAUAGAAUAUCUCAUAAUCAGAGUGUCAAUCAACGUGAAAGGCAUUCAAGUUUGGUCAGAGGAACCAAUAACAGUAGCAAAAGAGAUUCUACUAUUAGACAAAGCAAAUCCGCUUCAAAACUAACUCUUGAAAAUAUUUCUGUAUUUAAUGGUAAACAGGCUGAAUUAAAGCGCAAUGAUUUUGCAACAGAAUCAAGAAACAACAAUUCUAAGCAUCGGAACCAAUCGCUUACUAGAAAAGAAAUGAAUAAAUCAAACCCCACCUUGUUGCAAGGUAAAAAACUGUCGUUAGCAAAUAAUGGAAAAGAAUUGAAAUUUGAUCAACCCGAGCCAGUUUAUCGUCGUAAACAAAUCGUACACAACAAGAAGAAAUAGAUGACAAAAUCACAAAACGAUGUAUCGUUUUAUCGGAACUUCUUCACAUCAAUAAGAAUCACCCUUACGCCAUCGUCCAUGAUGGCUUCCAAAUCACCGACGAAAGAACGCAGCGGAAGUCGUGCUAGUAAUCGCAUCACUAACGGAGAUGACAGCAAUGGAGAGUCUUCUUACGCUUAAUUUCUUAUCUAGCU
Malaya genurostris is the source of this 10957-nucleotide RNA transcript. It is a transcript of the gene named unconventional myosin-XVIIIa, with no coding region annotated. Lineage: Eukaryota; Metazoa; Arthropoda; Insecta; Diptera; Culicidae. The transcript has 20 exons. The record is from RefSeq and is a predicted model, not a curated record.